AUUCCUCCAGUGCCACUGGUUUAGGGUCUCCCCGACCAAGCUGUUCCCGGCCUGCUUUCCAGAGCUGUGACUUUCACAAGUGUUUUUCCAAUGGUUUAACUUUUUAUUUUUUUCUGCUGUCUACUUCUUUUUCCAGACACAGAGUUCCAGAAUGCUGUUUUAUCUUUCUUCCUUCUUAGUUGAAAUAAAACUAGUAUUAGAUUUAGAACUGUGUUCUGUCAAAGUCUUUUCCCUUGGGAAACUUGCCUUUAUUAUGAUCAAGUUUCUGGGAAUAUUGCACAAUGAUUACUCUUCUCUCCCUAACAGAGCCAUGAGAUCAUCAUUGGAUCUUCACUGUGAGAAACCAGUGGUAUUCUUGGAGGAUAUUCACCCUUGGAAUCAAGACACCAUACUGUGAGUAUGCCAAGCAGCCACAUGGAAAGGCCAAUAGAGCUGUUCCAAGCACAGCCUCAGCUAGGUCCCAGGAGAUGACCAGCAUCAAGCACCAGACAAGAUAGCACAUAAGAAAAGAAACAACUUGCUGCAAUGCCGAAAUGCCCUCUGCUUGUGAGAUGAAAAACAACUGGCUGAAAUUGGUAGGAACUAAGAUGGCUGACUGGAGUUUGUGCAGAAGGAGCUUACUGACGUCACAGUCUGAAUUUCCACCACGUGUUUCACGCUAACUCCCCCUGAAUUUGCACAUGCAACCCAUGAGUUACCAUGAACUGCACAUGUCCAAGGACUUUCCAGACCUCCCCUUUCCUUCUACCAAUCACCUACUAAUCUCAGAAUCCAUCCCCUGAACCAUUUCUAAUAAAAAGACUGCAUUGAAG
Molecule: long non-coding RNA, 812 nt
Filed under: Homo sapiens (human)
Lineage: Eukaryota; Metazoa; Chordata; Mammalia; Primates; Hominidae
Description: HSALNT0128091
Source: RNAcentral